AUUAGGGUAGCAAAGCACGGCCAUGCAGGAGGCUUAAAACCUCGAUACAGGUGUUCAAAUCACCUCCUUAAUA
This 73-nucleotide transfer RNA is filed under the name Bothrops pubescens. Its description in RNAcentral is "tRNA-Leu". It matches the Rfam family "tRNA". Rfam says of the family: Transfer RNA (tRNA) molecules are approximately 80 nucleotides in length. Their secondary structure includes four short double-helical elements and three loops (D, anti-codon, and T loops). Further hydrogen bonds mediate the characteristic L-shaped molecular structure. tRNAs have two regions of fundamental functional importance: the anti-codon, which is responsible for specific mRNA codon recognition, and the 3' end, to which the tRNAs corresponding amino acid is attached (by aminoacyl-tRNA synthetases). tRNAs cope with the degeneracy of the genetic code in two manners: having more than one tRNA (with a specific anti-codon) for a particular amino acid; and 'wobble' base-pairing, i.e. permitting non-standard base-pairing at the 3rd anti-codon position. Lineage: Eukaryota; Metazoa; Chordata; Lepidosauria; Squamata; Viperidae. The record is from RNAcentral.